CAGCCGCCACGGUAAUACGAAGGGUGCAAGCGUUAAUCGGAAUUACUGGGCGUAAAGGGAGCGUAGGCGGACUGUUUAGUCAGAGGUGAAAGCCCAGGGCUCAACCUUGGAAUUGCCUUUGAUACUGGCAGUCUUGAGUACGGAAGAGGUAUGUGGAACUCCGAGUGUAGAGGUGAAAUUCGUAGAUAUUCGGAAGAACACCAGUGGCGAAGGCGACAUACUGGUCCGUUACUGACGCUGAGGCUCGAAAGCGUGGGGAGCAAACAGGAUUAGAUACCCGCGUAGUCCCUGUCUCUUAUAC
RNAcentral lists this ribosomal RNA (301 nucleotides) under uncultured bacterium. Its description in RNAcentral is "partial 16S ribosomal RNA". It matches the Rfam family "Bacterial small subunit ribosomal RNA", at positions 509 to 807 of the family's 1533-position model. The record is from RNAcentral.